Molecule: long non-coding RNA, 549 nt
Filed under: Rattus norvegicus (Norway rat)
Lineage: Eukaryota; Metazoa; Chordata; Mammalia; Rodentia; Muridae
Description: long non-coding RNA NONRATT016894
Source: RNAcentral
UCAAGCACUUACAACAGAGCCUGUCACAAUCGGAGGGACCAACUAAACACAGGGUAAUUAAUUAGACCUGACUCCCGAGGCUUCAAAGCAGAGGAAGAAAACCUGAGACACUACAGUCGAUGACCUUUGGUAACUAAGAGCUCCUGCAAGCAUGCAAAUGAUUGUAGCAGUAACCCGGUCCUUGGGGGAAAAGGACACAGUGCAUCAAGAAUGCAUGACUGUGGUGAACGGAGAGGACCCCAAGGAAAAUAACAAGGCCCAAUCCAGUAUACUGGGAUGCUGCCCAAGAUCAUCAGAGAUGCCAUUCACAGGACACACAGACAACAUCACCAAGCUACAAGAAUUGAGUUCCUCUGAGGGAGCUACCAAAGAACAUCAUGGUUUCUCUUCAAGCAUGGUUACCCAACUGCGGGAAAAAAGGGGGACCCAGAAGUAAGGGCAGCUACAGAAAAGUAAGGAGAUAGAGAAAAGAAACUGUUAACUCUCAUCUCCUCCGCUGGACUGUUGGGAAAAGAAAUGUUUCCUCUUUGUGAGAUUAAAAUGUUAAAC